RNAcentral lists this ribosomal RNA (253 nucleotides) under uncultured bacterium. RNAcentral describes it as "partial 16S ribosomal RNA". It matches the Rfam family "Bacterial small subunit ribosomal RNA", at positions 524 to 776 of the family's 1533-position model. The record is from RNAcentral.
GACAGAGGCCCCGAGCGUUAGUCGGAAUCACUGGGCGUAAAGGGCGCGUAGGUGGUUAGGUAAGUGAGAUGUGAAAUCCCUGGGCUUAACCUGGGAAUGGCAUCUUAAACUGCUUAGCUUGAGUGCAAUAGAGGGUAGUGGAAUUUCCGGUGUAGCGGUGAAAUGCGUAGAGAUCGGAAGGAACACCAGUGGCGAAGGCGGCUACCUGGAUUGACACUGACACUGAGGCGCGAAAGCGUGGGGAGCAAACAGG